UACGAAGGGGGGCUAGCGUUGCUCGGAAUCACUGGGCGUAAAGGGUGCGUAGGCGGGUCUUAAGUCAGGGGUGAAAUCCUGGAGCUCAACUCCAGAACUGCCUUUGAUACUGAGGAUCUUGAGUUCGGGGAGAGGUGAGUGGAACUGCGAGUGUAGAGGUGAAAUUAUAGAUAUUCGCAAGAACACCAGUGGCGAAGGCGGCUCACUGGCCCGAUACUGACGCUGAGGCACGAAAGCGUGGGGAGCAAACAGG
This 253-nucleotide ribosomal RNA is filed under the name uncultured bacterium. RNAcentral describes it as "partial 16S ribosomal RNA". It matches the Rfam family "Bacterial small subunit ribosomal RNA", at positions 524 to 776 of the family's 1533-position model. The record is from RNAcentral.